GGCCGCACCUGUGGUUCAGGUGUCCGUAUCAACGGAUGAAAAGGGAAUCCGGUUCAAAGCCGGAACGGGCCCGCCGCUGUAGCCGGGGACAACUUUCGCACAUACGCCACUGUGACAACGGGAAGGCGCGGAAGAAGGACGAUCCGGAAGUCAGAAGACCUGCCUGAACCGUAUGACCCCG
Molecule: non-coding RNA, 181 nt
Filed under: Desulfobulbus propionicus
Lineage: Bacteria; Pseudomonadati; Thermodesulfobacteriota; Desulfobulbia; Desulfobulbales; Desulfobulbaceae
Also listed under: 1 other name
Source: RNAcentral